This is a long non-coding RNA of Manis pentadactyla (Chinese pangolin), 957 nucleotides long. RefSeq lists it as uncharacterized. The record is from RefSeq and is a predicted model, not a curated record. The transcript has 2 exons. Lineage: Eukaryota; Metazoa; Chordata; Mammalia; Pholidota; Manidae.
ACUGGGAUCAAACUGGCCUUACUUUGGAUGGGGAAAGAGCAGGUCAUCUGACAGUUUGGGGCAUCGUUCCUGUACUCAGACAUCACCUACCGCUGCCUGGACCUUUGUCCCAACAUCCUCACCUACCUCCCAGCCUCCAGGCUUCCCUCCAGUCCAUCUGCAUGGCCAGAGCUGACUGCACCCCUCCCUGCUUACUGCCCCCUACUGUGCACCCCCACCCCAGCCCCACAGACUGAGCUCUCCAGCCUGGUGCCUGAGACUCCUAUCUGCUUCCUGUUUGAGCUCUCACCACAGCCUGGUGCACUGAUAACUCACUUUGUGGAGAUACUCUUCAGGGUUUUCAGCUUCUGGUCUUUGCUAGGUCUGUUCCCUCAGCCCAAGUGUUCUCACCCGCCCUUCCUUGCCUGGCCUGCAGCCACUUUCUCAAAACUCAGAGGGGCAGGUCUCUAGGAAGCAUUUCCUGAGUGCCACAGGCUGGAUAAAGCUGUCCCCCGCAGAGCCUCCCUUCGUUCUCUUUGCCUGGGCCCAGCGCUAGCGCUCCCCUCGUUGGAGCCCACAUCUCCUGCAGGCUCCACGUCCCCUUCUGCCUUGCUGGCCUGAGAAUCCUCACGGGCAGGGACCAGCACAAGGCCGGGAUGUCUUUGGUUGACUGUACGGCAUGUCUUCCGCCACCCCAGCAAACUUAUACUCAUCCAUCAAGAUCCAGCUGAGAUGCCUGUGGGAAGCCUCCCCUGACUUCUGCAGGCAGUCGGGCUCUCUCGUAGCCCUCUGUACUACCCUGUCUCGGAUUCCAUUCCAACCAGCUGUGUCCAGGUUGGCGCACCAAGUCAGGGGCCCCCAAGGGAAGGUCCCAGGUCUAACUCGUGUCCCCAGCUUUGUCACACAAGGACCUGGUCCAUGAAGGGUCCCAGGAAACAUUUGUUGAAAGAACAAAUGAAUACAUGGAUAGUAUUAUGA